UACGUAGGGUGCGAGCGUUGUCCGGAAUUAUUGGGCGUAAAGGGCUCGUAGGCGGUCUGUCACGUCGGGAGUGAAAACUCAGGGCUUAACCCUGAGCCUGCUUCCUAUACGGGCAGACUAGAGGUAUGCAGGGGAGAACGGAAUUCCUGGUGUAGCGGUGAAAUGCGCAGAUAUCAGGAGGAACACCGGUGGCGAAGGCGGUUCUCUGGGCAUUACCUGACGCUGAGGUGCGAGAGCGUGGGGAGCAAACAGG
This 253-nucleotide ribosomal RNA is filed under the name uncultured bacterium. RNAcentral describes it as "partial 16S ribosomal RNA". It matches the Rfam family "Bacterial small subunit ribosomal RNA", at positions 524 to 776 of the family's 1533-position model. The record is from RNAcentral.